This 519-nucleotide ribosomal RNA is filed under the name uncultured bacterium. Its description in RNAcentral is "bacterial SSU rRNA". It matches the Rfam family "Bacterial small subunit ribosomal RNA", at positions 9 to 526 of the family's 1533-position model. The record is from RNAcentral.
GAGUUUGAUCCUGGCUCAGGAUGAACGCUGGCGGCGUGCUUAACACAUGCAAGUCGAACGAAGCACUUUAUUUGAUUUCCUUCGGGACUGAUUAUUUUGUGACUGAGUGGCGGACGGGUGAGUAACGCGUGGGUAACCUGCCUUGUACAGGGGGAUAACAGUUGGAAACGGCUGCUAAUACCGCAUAAGCGCACAGCAUCGCAUGAUGCAGUGUGAAAAACUCCGGUGGUAUAAGAUGGACCCGCGUUGGAUUAGCUAGUUGGUGAGGUAACGGCCCACCAAGGCGACGAUCCAUAGCCGACCUGAGAGGGUGACCGGCCACAUUGGGACUGAGACACGGCCCAAACUCCUACGGGAGGCAGCAGUGGGGAAUAUUGCACAAUGGGCGAAAGCCUGAUGCAGCGACGCCGCGUGAGCGAAGAAGUAUUUCGGUAUGUAAACCUCUAUCAGCAGGGAAGAAAAUGACGGUACCUGACUAAGAAGCACCGGCUAACUACGUGCCAGCAGCCGCGGUAAUUC